This 89-nucleotide transfer RNA is filed under the name Erysipelothrix sp. Its description in RNAcentral is "tRNA-Ser". It matches the Rfam family "tRNA". Rfam says of the family: Transfer RNA (tRNA) molecules are approximately 80 nucleotides in length. Lineage: Bacteria; Bacillati; Bacillota; Erysipelotrichia; Erysipelotrichales; Erysipelotrichaceae. The record is from RNAcentral.
GGAGGAAUACCCAAGAGGCUGAAGGGGUCGGUUUCGAAAACCGAUAGGAGUGAAAGCUCGCGUGGGUUCAAAUCCUACUUCCUCCGCCA